AAUCAACGCUGGCGGCGUGCCUCAGACAUGCAAGUCGAACGAUUAAAGCUCUCUUCGGAGAGUGUAUAGAGUGGCGCACGGGUGAGUAACACGUAAGUAAUCUACCCUCGGGUGGGAAGUAACAUCGGGAACCGAUGCUAAUACCGCAUAAUGCAGCGGCUCCUAAUGGAGACAGUUGUUAAAGGUAUUUAUUCGUCCUGAGGAGGAGCUUGCGGCAGAUUAGCUAGUUGGUAAGGUAAUGGCUUACCAAGG
Molecule: ribosomal RNA, 252 nt
Filed under: uncultured bacterium
Lineage: Bacteria
Description: partial 16S ribosomal RNA
Rfam family: Bacterial small subunit ribosomal RNA
Source: RNAcentral